AGAUAAGCCAUGCAUGUCUAAGUAUAAGCAAUAUACCGUGAAACUGCGAAUGGCUCAUUAAAUCAGUUAUCGUUUAUUUGAUAGUACCUUACUACAUGGAUAACCGUGGUAAUUCUAGAGCUAAUACAUGCUAAAAACCCCAACUUCGGGAGGGGUGUAUUUAUUAGAUAAAAAACCAAUGCCCUUCGGGGCUCCUUGGUGAUUCAUAAUAACUUAACGGAUCGCAUGGCCUUGCGCCGGCGACGGUUCAUUCAAAUUUCUGCCCUAUCAACUUUCGAUGGUAAGGUAUUGGCUUACCAUGGUUUCAACGGGUAACGGGGAAUUAGGGUUCGAUUCCGGAGAGGGAGCCUGAGAAACGGCUACCACAUCCAAGGAAGGCAGCAGGCGCGCAAAUUACCCAAUCCCGACACGGGGAGGUAGUGACAAUAAAUACUGAUACAGGGCUCUUUUGGGUCUUGUAAUCGGAAUGAGUACAAUUUAAACCCCUUAACGAGGAACAAUUGGAGGGCAAGUCUGGUGCCAGCAGCCGCGGUAAUUCCAGCUCCAAUAGCGUAUAUUAAAGUUGUUGCAGUUAAAAAGCUCGUAGUUGAACCUUGGGCCUGGCUGGCCGGUCCGCCUCACCGCGUGUACUGGUCCGGCCGGGCCUUUCCUUCUGGAGAGCCCCAUGCCCUUCACUGGGCGUGCGGGGGAACCAGGACUUUUACUUUGAAAAAAUUAGAGUGUUCAAAGCAGGCCUUUGCUCGAAUACGUUAGCAUGGAAUAAUAGAAUAGGACGUGCGGUCCUAUUUUGUUGGUUUCUAGGACCGCCGUAAUGAUUAAUAGGGAUAGUCGGGGGCAUCAGUAUUCAAUUGUCAGAGGUGAAAUUCUUGGAUUUAUUGAAGACUAACUACUGCGAAAGCAUUUGCCAAGGAUGUUUUCAUUAAUCAGUGAACGAAAGUUAGGGGAUCGAAGACGAUCAGAUACCGUCGUAGUCUUAACCGUAAACUAUGCCGACUAGGGAUCGGGCGAUGUUUCUAUCUUGACUCGCUCGGCACCUUACGAGAAAUCAAAGUUUUUGGGUUUGGGGGGAGUAUGGUCGCAAGCUGAACUAG
Molecule: ribosomal RNA, 1091 nt
Filed under: Sporormiella lignicola
Lineage: Eukaryota; Fungi; Ascomycota; Dothideomycetes; Pleosporales; Sporormiaceae
Description: SSU rRNA
Rfam family: Eukaryotic small subunit ribosomal RNA
Source: RNAcentral